UAACACUAACUGGAGGACCGAACCGACUAAUGUUGAAAAAUUAGCGGAUGACCUGUGGCUGGGGGUGAAAGGCCAAUCAAACCGGGAGAUAGCUGGUUCUCCCCGAAAGCUAUUUAGGUAGCGCCUCGUGAAUUCAUCUCCGGGGGUAGAGCACUGUUUCGGCUAGGGGGCCAUCCCGGCUUACCAACCCGAUGCAAACUGCGAAUACCGGAGAAUGUUAUCACGGGAGACACACGGCGGGUGCUAACGUCCGUCGUGAAGAGGGAAACAACCCAGACCGCCAGCUAAGGUCCCAAAGUCAUGGUUAAGUGGGAAACGAUGUGGGAAGGCCCAGACAGCCAGGAUGUUGGCUUAGAAGCAGCCAUCAUUUAAAGAAAGCGUAAUAGCUCACUGGUCGAGUCGGCCUGCGCGGAAGAUGUAACGGGGCUAAACCAUGCACCGAAGCUGCGGCAGCGACACUGUGUGUUGUUGGGUAGGGGAGCGUUCUGUAAGCCUGCGAAGGUGGCCUGUGAGGGUUGCUGGAGGUAUCAGAAGUGCGAAUGCUGACAUAAGUAACGAUAAAGCGGGUGAAAAGCCCGCUCGCCGGAAGACCAAGGGUUCCUGUCCAACGUUAAUCGGGGCAGGGUGAGUCGACCCCUAAGGCGAGGCCGAAAGGCGUAGUCGAUGGGAAACGGGUUAAUAUUCCCGUACUUGGUGUUACUGCGAAGGGGGGACGGAGAAGGCUAUGUUGGCCGGGCGACGGUUGUCCCGGUUUAAGCGUGUAGGUGUGUGUUCCAGGUAAAUCCGGUUCACUUUAACACUGAGGCGUGACGACGAGGCACUACGGUGCUGAAGCAACAAAUGCCCUGCUUCCAGGAAAAGCCUCUAAGCAUCAGGUAACAUCAAAUCGUACCCCAAACCGACACAGGUGGUCAGGUAGAGAAUACCAAGGCGCUUGAGAGAACUCGGGUGAAGGAACUAGGCAAAAUGGUGCCGUAACUUCGGGAGAAGGCACGCUGACACGUAGGUGAAGUGAUUUACUCAUGGAGCUGAAGUCAGUCGAAGAUACCAGCUGGCUGCAACUGUUUAUUAAAAACACAGCACUGUGCAAACACGAAAGUGGACGUAUACGGUGUGACGCCUGCCCGGUGCCGGAAGGUUAAUUGAUGGGGUCAGCGCAAGCGAAGCUCCUGAUCGAAGCCCCGGUAAACGGCGGCCGUAACUAUAACGGUCCUAAGGUAGCGAAAUUCCUUGUCGGGUAAGUUCCGACCUGCACGAAUGGCGUAAUGAUGGCCAGGCUGUCUCCACCCGAGACUCAGUGAAAUUGAACUCGCUGUGAAGAUGCAGUGUACCCGCGGCAAGACGGAAAGACCCCGUGAACCUUUACUAUAGCUUGACACUGAACAUUGAGCCUUGAUGUGUAGGAUAGGUGGGAGGCUUUGAAGUGUGGACGCCAGUCUGCAUGGAGCCGACCUUGAAAUACCACCCUUUAAUGUUUGAUGUUCUAACGUGGACCCGUUACCCGGGUUGCGGACAGUGUCUGGUGGGUAGUUUGACUGGGGCGGUCUCCUCCUAAAGAGUAACGGAGGAGCACGAAGGUUGGCUAAUCCUGGUCGGACAUCAGGAGGUUAGUGCAAUGGCAUAAGCCAGCUUGACUGCGAGCGUGACGGCGCGAGCAGGUGCGAAAGCAGGUCAUAGUGAUCCGGUGGUUCUGAAUGGAAGGGCCAUCGCUCAACGGAUAAAAGGUACUCCGGGGAUAACAGGCUGAUACCGCCCAAGAGUUCAUAUCGACGGCGGUGUUUGGCACCUCGAUGUCGGCUCAUCACAUCCUGGGGCUGAAGUAGGUCCCAAGGGUAUGGCUGUUCGCCAUUUAAAGUGGUACGCGAGCUGGGUUUAGAACGUCGUGAGACAGUUCGGUCCCUAUCUGCCGUGGGCGCUGGAGAACUGAGGGGGGCUGCUCCUAGUACGAGAGGACCGGAGUGGACGCAUCACUGGUGUUCGGGUUGUCAUGCCAAUGGCACUGCCCGGUAGCUAAAUGCGGAAGAGAUAAGUGCUGAAAGCAUCUAAGCACGAAACUUGCCCCGA
Molecule: ribosomal RNA, 2064 nt
Filed under: Salmonella enterica subsp. enterica serovar Enteritidis
Lineage: Bacteria; Pseudomonadati; Pseudomonadota; Gammaproteobacteria; Enterobacterales; Enterobacteriaceae
Description: partial 23S ribosomal RNA
Rfam family: Bacterial large subunit ribosomal RNA
Source: RNAcentral